RNAcentral lists this long non-coding RNA (217 nucleotides) under Gossypium barbadense (sea-island cotton). RNAcentral's name for it is "long non-coding RNA (GBAR_LNC021023)". Lineage: Eukaryota; Viridiplantae; Streptophyta; Magnoliopsida; Malvales; Malvaceae. The record is from RNAcentral.
AACAAUAAAUAAAAUAUAUAAAUGUUAUAGAGAAUAAACAAAUCAUGUGUAGAUACAGUUUUCAAAUGUUUUUCAUUAACAGUUUAGAAACAGAAUCAUUUUUGAAAACAAAUAUGUAAUAAAAUGCCUAUUCAGAUCCUACCCCCAUCCGCUACACACCAACUCCGUCCAUCCCGACACACAUGCUACGGUAUCCAGUACCCGUCCAACCUCACAC